This 432-nucleotide ribosomal RNA is filed under the name uncultured bacterium. RNAcentral's name for it is "partial 16S ribosomal RNA". It matches the Rfam family "Bacterial small subunit ribosomal RNA", at positions 29 to 507 of the family's 1533-position model. The record is from RNAcentral.
AACGAACGCUGGCGGCAUGCCUAACACAUGCAAGUCGAACGAGACCUUCGGGUCUAGUGGCGCACGGGUGCGUAACGCGUGGGAACCUGCCCUUAGGUUCGGAAUAACUCCCCGAAAGGGGUGCUAAUACCGGAUAAUGUCUUCGGACCAAAGAUUUAUCGCCUUUGGAUGGGCCCGCGUUGGAUUAGCUAGUUGGUAGGGUAAAAGCCUACCAAGGCGACGAUCCAUAGCUGGUCUGAGAGGAUGAUCAGCCACACUGGGACUGGGACACGGCCCAGACCCCAACGGGGGGCGGCAGUGGGGAAAAUUGGACAUUGGGCGAAAGCCUGUUCCGGCAAUGCCGCGUGGGUGAUAAAGGCCUUGGGUUGGUAAAGCUCUUUUCCCCGGGAGGAUAUGACAGUACCGGGAGAAUAAGCUCCGGCUAACUCCGUG